UGGGGAAUAUUGCACAAUGGGGGAAACCCUGAUGCAGCGACGCCGCGUGAACGAAGAAGGUAUUCGUAUCGUAAAGUUCUGUCCUAUGGGAAGAUAAUGACAGUACCAUAGAAGAAAGCUCCGGCUACAUACGUGCCAGCAGCCGCGGUAAUACGUAUGGAGCGAGCGUUGUCCGGAAUUAUUGGGCGUAAAGGGUACGCAGGCGGUUUAAUAAGUCGAAUGUUAAAGAUCGGGGCUCAACCCCGCAAAGCAUUGGAAACUGAUAAACUUGAGUAGUGGAGAGGAAAGUGGAAUUCCUAGUGUAGUGGUGAAAUACGUAGAUAUUAGGAGGAAUACCAGUAGCGAAGGCGACUUUCUGGACACAAACUGACGCUGAGGUACGAAAGCGUGGGGAGCAAACAGG
Molecule: ribosomal RNA, 403 nt
Filed under: bacterium
Lineage: Bacteria
Description: partial 16S ribosomal RNA
Rfam family: Bacterial small subunit ribosomal RNA
Source: RNAcentral